Molecule: long non-coding RNA, 1187 nt
Filed under: Homo sapiens (human)
Lineage: Eukaryota; Metazoa; Chordata; Mammalia; Primates; Hominidae
Description: non-protein coding lnc-NEURL1B-3:5
Source: RNAcentral
GCGCGCGAACCCCGCCGGCCACGUCCGGCCCCCGCCCGGCCUUUGUCCCGGUGCUGAGCCGCCGCGCCGGGGGAGGGGACUGGACUGACCCCGUCGCCCGUUCACUGAUUGACGUAUCGAUUCAUUCCAGCACUCUCGCUCCGGCAGCCGCCAUCCACCGCCAGUUUGGAGAGCCGGACACCCGGGUUCGAAUCCCGGCUUUGCCGCUUUUCCACUCUGUGCCCUCGAUGGUGAAAUUAGACCCAUUACAUCUUCUGGAGAAACUGGAAGGGGCUUGCAGUAGGUUGAAUGGUGGCCGCCCCAGAAGAUAUGUCCUUGGAACCUGCUAAUGAAACCUUACUUGAAAAAGGCAUCUUUGGGCCGGGCACAGUGGCUCACACCUGUAAUCCCAGCACUUUGCGAGGCCAAGGCCAGUGGAUCACCUGAAGUCAGGAGUUCAAGACCAGCCUGGCCAACAUGGCGAAAUCCCAUCUCUACUAAAAAUACAAAAAGUAUCUGGGUGUGGUGGUGGGUGCCUGUAACCCCAUCUACUCGGGAGCCUGAGGAAGGAGAAUAACUUGAACCUGGGAGGCAGAGGUUGCAGUGAGCCGAGGUCGCGCCACUGCACCCCAGCCUGGGCGACAGAGCGAGACUCCGUCUCAAAAAAAAAAAAAAAAAAAAAAAAAAAAAAAAAAAAAAAAAAAAGAGAGAGAGAGAAAGGCAUCUUUGUCAAUGUAUUUAAGUUAAGGAUCUUGAGAUGAGAUUAUCCUGGAUUGUCCAGUUAACCCUGAAUCCAGUGACAAGUGUCUUUAAAAGAGAUACACAGAGGAGAAGACAGACACAAAGAGAGAAGGUGAUGUGAAGAUGGGGGCAGAGAUUGGAGGGACGCAGCUACAAGCCAAGAAAACCAAGGAUUGCUGGCAGCCACCAGAGGCUGGGAGAGAGGCCUGGGUUGAGACGGCCUCAGAGCCUCCAGAGGGAGCCUGGUCCUGCUGACACCUCAGUUUUGGAGUUCUGACCUCCAGAACUAUGAGAAAAUAAAUUUCUGUUGUUUCAAGCCACCGAGUUUGUGGUAACUUUUCAUGGCAGACCUAGGAAACUAAUACAGGAAUGAACUUGGGGAAAACAACAGUGGGAAGGUCCUUGCCCAGUGGAGCCCUUCCUGGAUGGCACUGUCCACACCCAGGGCUUCAUUCCUUCUCCAAAGA